Molecule: ribosomal RNA, 253 nt
Filed under: uncultured Desulfovibrio sp.
Lineage: Bacteria; Pseudomonadati; Thermodesulfobacteriota; Desulfovibrionia; Desulfovibrionales; Desulfovibrionaceae
Description: partial 16S ribosomal RNA
Rfam family: Bacterial small subunit ribosomal RNA
Source: RNAcentral
UACGGAGGGAGCGAGCGUUAAUCGGAAUUACUGGGCGUAAAGCGCGCGUAGGCUGUUGUGUAAGUUGGGGGUGAAAUCCCACGGCUCAACCGUGGAACAGCCCUUGAUACUGCGCGACUUGAAUCCGGGAGAGGGUGGCGGAAUUCCAGGUGUAGGAGUGAAAUGCAUAGAUAUCACGCAGAACCCCGAUUGCGAAGGCAGCAUGCCGGCUUCCGACUGACGCUGAUGCGCGAAAGCGUGGGGAGCAAACAGG